UGAGGAAUAUUGGUCAAUGGACGCAAGUCUGAACCAGCCAUCCCGCGUGAAGGAUGACUGCCCUAUGGGUUGUAAACUUCUUUUAUAUGCAAAUAAACCUACUUUCGUGAAAGUAGCUGAAGGUAGCAUAUGAAUAAACACCGGCUAACUCCGUGCCAGCAGCCGCGGUAAUACGGAGGGUGUAAGCGUUAUCCGGAUUUAUUGGGUUUAAAGGGUACGUAGGCGGUAAUAUAAGUCAGUGGUGAAAUCCUGCAGCUCAACUGUAGAACUGCCAUUGAAACUGUAUUACUUGAGUAUACUUGAGGUAGGCGGAAUGAGUAGUGUAGCGGUGAAAUGCUUAGAUAUUACUCAGAACACCGAUUGCGAAGGCAGCUUACUAAGGUAUAACUGACGCUGAUGUACGAAAGCGUGGGGAGCGAACAGG
This 424-nucleotide ribosomal RNA is filed under the name uncultured bacterium. Its description in RNAcentral is "bacterial SSU rRNA". It matches the Rfam family "Bacterial small subunit ribosomal RNA", at positions 355 to 776 of the family's 1533-position model. The record is from RNAcentral.